CAGUCGACGGUUGGCAGCAAUGCCAAUAGUGGCGCACGGGUGCGUAACGCGUAACUAACCUACCCGAAUCUGGGGGAUAGCCCGCCGAAAGGCGGAUUAAUACCGCAUAAAACUGCAGCUUGGCAUCAGGUAACAGUUAAAGAUUUAUUGGAUUCGGAUGGGGUUGCGUGCCAUUAGCUAGUUGGCGGGGUAACGGCCCACCAAGGCGACGAUGGCUAGGGGAGCUGAGAGGCUGGUCCCCCACACGGGCACUGAGAUACGGGCCCGACUCCUACGGGAGGCAGCAGUAGGGAAUAUUGGGCAAUGGGCGAGAGCCUGACCCAGCCAUGCCGCGUGCAGGAUGAAGGCUUUCUGAGUCGUAAACUGCUUUUAUCGGGGAAGAAAAAAGGGGAUGCGUCCUCUACUGACGGUACCCGAUGAAUAAGCACCGGCUAACUCCGUGCCAGCAGCCGCGGUAAUACGGAGGGUGCAAGCGUUGUCCGGAUUUAUUGGGUUUAAAGGGUGCGUAGGCGGCUGAUUAAGUCUGGGGUGAAAGCCCGUUGCUCAACAACGGAACUGCCCUGGAAACUGGUUAGCUUGAGUACAGACGAGGGUGGCGGAAUGGAUACUGUAGUGGUGAAAUGCAUAGAUAGUAUCCAGAACCCCGAUUGCGUAGGCAGCUGCCUAGACUGUAACUGACGCUGAGGCACGAAAGCGUGGGGAGCGAACA
This 709-nucleotide ribosomal RNA is filed under the name uncultured bacterium. RNAcentral describes it as "bacterial SSU rRNA". It matches the Rfam family "Bacterial small subunit ribosomal RNA", at positions 59 to 774 of the family's 1533-position model. The record is from RNAcentral.